UGUGGGGUGACCGCGUACCUCUUGCAUAAUGGGUCAGUGACUUAAUUUAUCUAGCAAGCUUAAGCCGUUAGGUGUAGGCGCAGCGAAAGCGAGUCUGAAUAGGGCGAAUGAGUUUGUUGGAUUAGACCCGAACCCCGGCGAUCUAGGCAUGACCAGGCUGAAGGUGCGGUAACACGCACUGGAGGACCGAACCCACGUCUGUUGAAAAAGACGGGGAUGACCUGUGGCUAGGGGUGAAAGGCCAAUCAAACUCGGAGAUAGCUGGUUCUCCGCGAAAUCUAUUUAGGUAGAGCGUCUCGUAUUACCUUCGGGGGUAGAGCACUGGAUGGGCUAGGGGGUCCCAACGACUUACCAAACCU
This 359-nucleotide ribosomal RNA is filed under the name Alexandrium margalefii. RNAcentral describes it as "partial Bacterial large subunit ribosomal RNA". It matches the Rfam family "Bacterial large subunit ribosomal RNA", at positions 587 to 946 of the family's 2925-position model. The record is from RNAcentral. Lineage: Eukaryota; Dinophyceae; Gonyaulacales; Pyrocystaceae.